This 1311-nucleotide long non-coding RNA is filed under the name Homo sapiens (human). Its description in RNAcentral is "HSALNT0360319". Lineage: Eukaryota; Metazoa; Chordata; Mammalia; Primates; Hominidae. The record is from RNAcentral.
UACCAGUGUGAAAAUGAACUAACACAGUAAGCUUUGCUAUCUAAUAAGAAAAAUUUUGUUCCCCAUCCCAGCUUUCUCCCUUACCACACAUAUGGCCACUUCCUUUAAAUUUGUCUGGGAAUUUUUUCACUCUUUACUCUUACAUAUGGCUUUAGGAUCAGCUUGUCCAAUUCUGAAAAAAGUCUUGUUAGGACUUUUAUUAGACUAACAAUGAAAGUGCAGAAGUGAUAUGUCUUCUUUAUAAUAUUAAAUCUUCCUGCCAAUGAACUGGUUUUUAUAUAUCUUUCUAAAUAUUUCAGUAAAGUUUUUUUUUUUAAAUUUUGUUGUAUCUGCAAAUGUCUGUUACAAAUAUCAAGUUUAGUGUUUUUUAAAAUUACAUUUUAUAAUUAAUAGUUCCUAGGAAAUAAGAACAGUAUUCAUUUUUAUAUUGAUCUAUGCAGUCACCAUUAGAACUGUCCUAUUUCUCAGUAGCUUUUCUGUAGCUCCACUGGAAAUUUUUGUGUCAACAAAAUUUUGUCUAUAAUAACAGCAAAAUAAAAUAACAGCAAUUUUGUUUCUGUCUUUUUAAGUCUUAUACAUUUUAUUUAUUUUUCUUAUUUUACUGCACUGAUUUAAAAUCUUUUUUUUUCAAUGUUGAAUAGAAGCAGUGAUGAAAGCAAGGAAAAUUUUAUUCCUAACUUCAGAGGGAAUAUAUGCAAUGUUGCACUCUUCAGAGACAGAGCACUACGGAAGGGAGCCCCAUUCCCAAGCAUGGUGUCCAAUACACUGAAAGAAUAACUGGGCUCAGUAAUGCACCUAGAGACUCAGAUUCCAGACCUGCCCACUUGCUUUACUAUCCAAAACAACCAUGACACAUGACUUCUCUGGCGGGGUGUUGGCCAAGACAAACUGAACUAUAGAAGAUCCUUGACUUGCCAACGUUCAAAUGAUGAACUUUCAAAAAUAGCGAAACUGGCUGCAGAGCAAAAGCUUUUCAGCUCUGCACAACACCAACAGAUGGCGCUAAGUGUCACCCUUGUGGAGAGCAGAGGGACCUCGGAAGGGCCUUUGGAAAUCUAAUCUGGUUUUGAGUUCUUGGUGGGAAAAUGCACCUUUAAGUUGGGGGAGUUUGAAGACGUUGCCAAGACACGUGCUGCAGCAUUUGAUCUUUUCUGCCGCACUGGCUUCUGCAAUUAACAUGCUUUCACCAGUGAAACUCAGGUUGCGGGGAGAGCAUUCUUCCAGGUUCAUGCCUGUUGUCAUGGAGUAAUUAUAAUUCAUGUCUCCGUUCACAGUGUCCUGGUUUGUAGAAUAAAAUAUCUGGUCCACCCA